GCCCAGAUGGCGAAAUUGGUAGACGCGCUAGUUUCAGGUACUAGUGGGGAGACCCUUGGAGGUUCGAGUCCUCUUCUGGGCACCA
RNAcentral lists this transfer RNA (85 nucleotides) under Burkholderiales bacterium. Its description in RNAcentral is "tRNA-Leu". It matches the Rfam family "tRNA". Rfam says of the family: Transfer RNA (tRNA) molecules are approximately 80 nucleotides in length. Their secondary structure includes four short double-helical elements and three loops (D, anti-codon, and T loops). The record is from RNAcentral. Lineage: Bacteria; Pseudomonadati; Pseudomonadota; Betaproteobacteria; Burkholderiales.